AGCCAGACUCCUACGGGAGGCAGCAGUGAGGAAUAUUGGUCAAUGGGCGGAAGCCUGAACCAGCCAAGUCGCGUGAGGGAAGGAGGCCCUGCGGGUCGCAGACCUCUUUGGACGGGGAGCAAGGCCGCCGACGUGUCGGCGGAAGGAGAGUACCCGUAGAACAAGCAUCGGCUAACUCCGUGCCAGCAGCCGCGGUAAUACGGAGGAUGCGAGCGUUAUCCGGAUUUAUUGGGUUUAAAGGGCGUGUAGCCGGGCUGACAAGUCAGAUGUGAAAUUCCGGGGCUCAACCCCGGACCUGCAUUUGAAACUGUUGGUCUUGAGUAUCGGAGAGGCAGGCGGAAUUCCUAGUGUAGCGGUGAAAUGCGUAGAUAUUAGGAGGAACACCAGUGGCGAAGGCGGCUUACUGGACUGAGACUGACGUUGAGGCUCGAAAGCGUGGGGAGCAAACAGGAUUAGAUACCCCGGUAAG
This 469-nucleotide ribosomal RNA is filed under the name uncultured bacterium. RNAcentral's name for it is "bacterial SSU rRNA". It matches the Rfam family "Bacterial small subunit ribosomal RNA", at positions 329 to 793 of the family's 1533-position model. The record is from RNAcentral.